This 716-nucleotide long non-coding RNA is filed under the name Androctonus crassicauda. The record is from RNAcentral. Lineage: Eukaryota; Metazoa; Arthropoda; Arachnida; Scorpiones; Buthidae.
AUGGACUUGAUAAGUGACCUUAAGGUUCUCGAGAUGCAUUCUUGAUCCACAGAUACUUUUGCAAUAAAUUCAGUAGUCUGGUCCAUAAGAUCUGCACCAAGCAUCUUAAAAUGUGCACUAUUUUAUAUACUUCUGCCACAUCCCACAUCAAGAAGUUCCAACCAAACACUUCCUGUCCAUCCCACUGCACCCUGUGUGUUGUUAUAAGAUGAUUAAUGAAGUUAACACAAAUCAUGUUUAUCACAUUUCUGAAAGAAGAAAUGCUACAGUUUUCUGAUGGAUGCAUAACAACAAAGAAACUAGGCUUAAUGCUAAAAGCUGCAGGGUAUACAAAAUAACAUUAGUUGAUUCAGUGAUCAGCACAGUCAGCCACUAUAUAUGAAUAACUAGAAGAUGUCUAUAAGAAUUAUACAAUAACACCAAUACAUAUAAAAAAUAUUAAGGAAAAUAUGGCUUUCACACAAACAGCCUAUUCAAGAGAUGUGAUUGUAAAAUGGGAUGAUGCUAAAAUUAUCAACUCAUUGUAUUCUAACAAGCUGAGGUCCAACUUUCACAAAGUUUGGAACAUUUACUUCCAUAAUCAGGAUGAAAAUCUAAUAAAUUCUAGGGUUAAGGAUGCUAUAUCUAGUUCUUGGGAGUUUUUUAUUAAUCAAUGUACUUAUAGUGUUUAAGUGCCACAAAUGUAAAUAUUGUAUUUGCUAUUACUUUCUCUGUUC